UACGUAGGGGGCAAGCGUUGUCCGGAAUCAUUGGGCGUAAAGCGCGUGUAGGCGGUCCGGUAAGUCAGCUGUGAAAGUCAAGGGCUCAACCCUUGAAAGCCGGUUGAUACUGUCGGGCUAGAGUCCGGAAGAGGCGAGUGGAAUUCCCGGUGUAGCGGUGAAAUGCGCAGAUAUCGGGAGGAACACCAAUGGCGAAGGCAGCUCGCUGGGACGGUACUGACGCUGAGACGCGAAAGCGUGGGGAGCAAACAGG
RNAcentral lists this ribosomal RNA (253 nucleotides) under uncultured bacterium. RNAcentral describes it as "partial 16S ribosomal RNA". It matches the Rfam family "Bacterial small subunit ribosomal RNA", at positions 524 to 776 of the family's 1533-position model. The record is from RNAcentral.